RNAcentral lists this ribosomal RNA (494 nucleotides) under uncultured bacterium. RNAcentral describes it as "partial 16S ribosomal RNA". It matches the Rfam family "Bacterial small subunit ribosomal RNA", at positions 28 to 507 of the family's 1533-position model. The record is from RNAcentral.
GACGAACGCUGGCGGCGUGCUUAACACAUGCAAGUCGAACGGUGAAGCGCCUUCCUUUUUGGUGGGUGUGGAUGAGUGGCGAACGGGUGAGUAACACGUGAGUAACCUGCCCCCUUCUUCUGGAUAACCGCAUGAAAGUGUGGCUAAUACGGGAUAUUCUGGGUCUGUCGCAUGAUGGGUCUGGGAAAGAUAUUGUUUCGGUGGGGGAUGGGCUCGCGGCCUAUCAGCUUGUUGGUGGGGUGAUGGCCUACCAAGGCGGUGACGGGUAGCCGGCCUGAGAGGGUGGACGGCACCACUGGGGAUGAGCCACGGCCCAGACUCCGACGGGAGGCAGCAGUGGGGAAUAUUGCACGAUGGGCGCAAGCCUGAUGCAGCGACGCCGCGUGAGGGAUGGAGGCCUUCGGGUUGUGAACCUCUUUCGCCAGUGAAGCAGGCCUGCCUCGUUUGUGGGUGGGUUGACGGUAGCUGGAUAAGAAGCGCCGGCUAACUACGUG